Molecule: ribosomal RNA, 521 nt
Filed under: uncultured Gemmatimonadota bacterium
Lineage: Bacteria; Pseudomonadati; Gemmatimonadota
Description: bacterial SSU rRNA
Rfam family: Bacterial small subunit ribosomal RNA
Source: RNAcentral
UGGGGAAUCUUGCGCAAUGGCCUAACGGCUGACGCAGCGACGCCGCGUGAGGGAUGACGCUCUUCGGAGUGUAAACCUCUUUUGCCCGGGACGAAUUGCCAGUUUUCACUGGCUUGACGGUACCGGGUGAAUAAGCACCGGCUAACUCCGUGCCAGCAGCCGCGGUAAUACGGGGGGUGCGAGCGUUGUCCGGAAUCACUGGGCGUAAAGGGCGCGUAGGUGGUCUUAUAAGGGUGUGGUGAAAGCCCGGGGCUCAACCCCGGGUCGGCCGUGCCGACUGUGAGACUAGAGUGCUGUAGGGGCAGGCGGAAUUCCGGGUGUAGCGGUGGAAUGCGUAGAGAUCCGGAGGAAGACCGGUGGCGAAGGCGGCCUGCUGGGGCAGUUACUGACACUGAGGCGCGACAGCGUGGGGAGCAAACAGGAUUAGAUACCCUGGUAGUCCACGCCGUAAACGAUGGGUACUAGGUGCCUGGGGGAGCGGACCCCUUGGGUGCCGGCGCUAACGCAGGAAGUACCCGCCU